This 262-nucleotide ribosomal RNA is filed under the name Escherichia coli. Its description in RNAcentral is "partial 23S ribosomal RNA". It matches the Rfam family "Bacterial large subunit ribosomal RNA", at positions 744 to 1003 of the family's 2925-position model. Lineage: Bacteria; Pseudomonadati; Pseudomonadota; Gammaproteobacteria; Enterobacterales; Enterobacteriaceae. The record is from RNAcentral.
GUUGAAGGUUGGGUAACACUAACUGGAGGAACGAACCGACUAAUGUUGAAAAAUUAGCGGAUGACUGGUGGCUGGGGGUGAAAGGCCAAUCAAACCGGGAGAUAGCUGGUUCUCCCCGAAAGCUAUUUAGGUAGCGCCUCGUGAAUUCAUCUCCGGGGGUAGAGCACUGUUUCGGCAAGGGGGUCAUCCCGACUUACCAACCCGAUGCAAACUGCGAAUACCGGAGAAUGUUAUCACGGGAGACAAACGGCGGGUGCUAACG